ACUGACAGCCAUGGUUACCGCGGCUGCUGGCACGGAGUUAGCCGGUGCUUCUUCUGUGAGUGAUGUCCUUCCUGCCGGCUAUUAACCCGCAGGCCUUCUUCCUCACUGAAAGUGCUUUACAACCCGAAGGCCUUCUUCACACACGCGGCAUGGCUGGAUCAGGGUUGCCCCCAUUGUCCAAUAUUCCCCACUGCUGCCUCCCGUAGGAGUCUGGGCCGUGUCUCAGUCCCAGUGUGGCUGAUCAUCCUCUCAGACCAGCUACGGAUCGUCGCCUUGGUGAGCCGUUACCUCACCAACCAGCUAAUCCGACAUAGGCUCAUCCGAUAGCGCGAGGCCCGAAGGUCCCCCGCUUUCCCCCGUAGGGCGUAUGCGGUAUUAGCCUGGGUUUCCCCCAGGUUAUCCCCCACUACCGGGCAGAUUCCUAUGCAUUACUCACCCGUCCGCCGCUCGCCACCAGGGAGCAAGCUCCCCGUGCUGCCGCUCGACUUGCAUGUGUUAGGCCUGCCGCCAGCGUUCAAU
RNAcentral lists this ribosomal RNA (519 nucleotides) under uncultured bacterium. Its description in RNAcentral is "partial 16S ribosomal RNA". The record is from RNAcentral.